This 411-nucleotide ribosomal RNA is filed under the name Bacteroidota bacterium. RNAcentral's name for it is "Bacteroidetes bacterium partial 16S ribosomal RNA". It matches the Rfam family "Bacterial small subunit ribosomal RNA", at positions 355 to 776 of the family's 1533-position model. Lineage: Bacteria; Pseudomonadati; Bacteroidota. The record is from RNAcentral.
UGGGGAAUAUUGCGCAAUGGGGGAAACCCUGACGCAGCGACGCCGGGGGGGGGAUGAAGGCCUUCGGGUUGUAAACCGCUUUUGAUUGGGAGCAAGCUUUCGGGUGAGGGUACCUUUCGAAUAAGCGCCGGCUAACUACGUGCCAGCAGCCGCGGUAAUACGUAGGGCGCAAGCGUUAUCCGGUUUUAUUGGGCGUAAAGGGAGCGCAGGCGGUAAAUUAAGUCUGAUGUGAAAGCCCCCGGCUCAACCGGGGAGGGUCAUUGGAAACUGGUUGACUUGAGUGCAGAAGAGGAGAGUGGAAUUCCAUGUGUAGCGGUGAAAUGCGUAGAUAUAUGGAGGAACACCAGUGGCGAAGGCGACUCUCUGGUCUGUAACUGACGCUGAGGCUCGAAAGCGUGGGUAGCAAACAGG